This 1725-nucleotide long non-coding RNA is filed under the name Apteryx haastii (Great spotted kiwi). RNAcentral's name for it is "lncRNA (ENSAHAG00000018199.1)". Lineage: Eukaryota; Metazoa; Chordata; Aves; Apterygiformes; Apterygidae. The record is from RNAcentral.
AUGGGGAACAAACAGGAAGAACUAGAGAUCUGUGUGCGGUCGCAGGGCCAUGAUCUCAUUGCCAUUACAGAGACAUGGUGGGAUAGCUCGCAUGACUGGAGUGCUGUCAUGGAUGGCUACGUGCUUUUUAAGAAAGACASGCCAGGMAAGCRAGGUGGUGGAGUUGCUCUUUAUGUGAGAGAGCAACUGGAAUGUAUUGAGCUGUGCCUAGGGGUGGAUGAAGAGCGAGUCGAGAGCUUAUGGGUAAGGAUUAAAGGGCAGGCUAGCAUGGGUGACACUGUUGUGGGUGUUUACUACAGGCCACCUGAUCAGGAAGAGGAAGUCACUGAGGCCUUCUACAGACAGCUGGAAGUAGCCUCACAAUCCCAGGCCCUGGUUCUCAUGGGAGACUUCAACCACCCCGAUAUCUGCUGGAAAGACAACWCAGCUAGGCACAAACAGUCCUGGAGGUUCCUGCAGAGCAUUGGUGCCAACUUCUUGACACAGGUGGUGGAGGAGCCAACAAGGAGAGGUGUGCUGCUGGACCUCGUACUAACAAACAAAGAAGGACUGGUGGAAGAUGUGAAGGUCGGGGGCUGCCUUGGCUGCAGUGACCAUGAGAUGGUGGAGUUCAGGAUCCUGCGAAGAGGCAGCAGGGCACCAAGUAGGAUCGCAACCCUGGACUUCAGGAGAGCAAACUUUGGCCUCUUCAGGGACCUACUUGGAGGAAUCCCAUGGGUUAGGGCCCUAGAAGGAAGGGGCGUUCAAGAGAGCUGGUUAAUAAUCAAACAUCACUUCCUCCAGGCUCAAGAGUGGUGCAUCCCUAUGAGUAGGAAGUCAAGCAAAGGAGGUAGGAGACAUGCAUGGAUGAGCAAGGAGCUCCUGGCAAAACUCAACCAGAAGGAAGUAUACAGAAAGUGGAAAGGGGGACAGGCCACUUGGGAGGAAUAUAGAAGUAGAGGAAUAAGGAAUAAGCAUGUCAGAGUAUGCAGGGAUGCAACGAGGAAGGCUAAGGCCUGUUUGGAAUUAAAUCUGGCAAGAGAUGUCAAGGACAACAAGAAAGGCUUCUUCAAAGACAUCAGUAGCAAGAGGAAGACUAGGGAAAAUGUGGGCCCUUUGCUGAAUGGGGUGGGUGCCCUGGUGACGAAGGAUGCAGAGAAGGCAGAGUUACUGAAUGCCGCCUUUGCUUCAGUCCUUACUGCUCAGGCCAGCCCUCAGGAACCCCAGACCCUAGAGACCACAGAGAAAGUCUGGAGAAAGAAAGACUUUCCCUUGGUCGAGGAGGAUUGGGUUAGAGAUCAUUUAAGAAAACUUGACACCCACAAAUCCAUGGGCCCUGAUGGGAUGCACCCACGAGUGCUGAGGGAGCUGGCGGACAUCAUUGCUAGGCCACUCUCCAUCAUCUUUGAAAGGUCAUGGAGGACAGGAGAGGUGCCUGAGGACUGGAAGAAAGCCAGUGUCACCCCAGUCUUCAAAAAGGGCAAGAAGGAGGACCCAGGGAACUACAGGCCAGUCAGCCUCACCUCCAUCCCUGGAAAGGUGAUGGAGCAGCUCAUCCUGGAGGCCAUCUCCAAGCAUGUGGAGGACAAGAAGGUGAUCAGGAGUAGUCAGCAUGGCUUCAGCAAGGGGAAAUCAUGCUUAACCAAUCUGAUAGGCUCCUAUGAUGGAAUGUCCAGUUCUGGGCUCCCCAGUACAAGAGGGAUGUGGCACUACUGGAGCAAGUCCAGCAAAGGGCUACAAAGAUGA